RNAcentral lists this ribosomal RNA (253 nucleotides) under uncultured bacterium. RNAcentral describes it as "partial 16S ribosomal RNA". It matches the Rfam family "Bacterial small subunit ribosomal RNA", at positions 524 to 776 of the family's 1533-position model. The record is from RNAcentral.
UACGUAAGUGGCGAGCGUUAUCCGGAAUUACUGGGCGUAAAGCGUGCGUAGGCGGUUUAGUGUGUGGGAAUUGAAAGCCCGGGGCUCAACUCCGGAUCCGGUUCCCAAACUGCUAGACUCGAGAGUAUCAGAGGAGAGCGGAAUUCCCGGUGUAGCGGUAAUAUGCGUAGAUAUCGGGAGGAACACCAGUGGCGAAGGCGGGUUGCUGGGCUGACACUGACGCUGAGGCGCGAAAGCCAGGGGAGCGAACGGG